UUUCUUUUCUUCUUCUCUCUAUACGUUGGUGUUCUAACCAAUAAUCACCAAAGCGAUAUUCUGUCCGAUCGAUUCAGGAACCAUCUAACGAAUGCCAAAGUGUUCUACUUUGUGAAUUUCGUUUAACGGAAUCCAAAGUACUAUACUUUGUGAGUUCAUUAAAUGGAUACCAAAGUACUGUCUGAAUAAGACUAUACUUUGUGAAAUUCGUUAAGGUUCGAAUCUCCUGAUCAUCGUUAGGUUUGAUAUGGUUUUACACAAAUACGUAUUCCAUUCUGUUAAACUAUAUGUUUAACCAUCCGAAUACUCCCAACUAUAUUCUUACAAUCAAAAUGGAUGCUUAAUCAUCAGAAGAUCCAAAAUAAUAAAGUAUAUGCUUAACUAUCAAGAAGGAGUAGAAUCAAGAAGCCUGUUAAAUCAAUACUGCAUGCUUGUACUGGAUUAAGUCUUUGUAAUCACCAAAUUACAGCCGGUAUGUGGGGUAUUGUGCACAAUAUUAAUUUCUCACGGGGUUAGGCAAAUAAGCCCUAACAUAGGUUAGGCAAAUAAGCCCUAACAGUGAAGUAUCACAGGGUUAGGCUAAUAAGCCCUAACACAGGUUAGGCAAAUAAGCCCUAACAGUGAUAUACGUCAUUCGUUGGGGCAGCCAAUGGUGAUAUGACCACAGUCACAGAUCCGGUCGAGUGACAAAUACUGUGGGUAGUUGGUUUGAUAUCAGAAACAUUGUAAUCGCUCUUAAUACUGUAAAUUAUAACAAAUGCGUCGUUUUAGUAAAAUGAAUGAUUCACUCAGUAUUUCCCCGCUGACAAAACCUUUUUAAAACGCGUUUCAGGUAAUUACAGUAUAUUGGAGUAAGGAUUGGAUCCGGCACUGAAGGACUUCAAGAAGUGGCUUAUUUUAUUAAUUAAAUCAAAUUAAGAAAUAUUGUUUUAUAUAAUCAAAUUUAUCUAUAUUAAAGCUACCAUUAUAAAACAUGGGUUUCAUCCCAUCUAUUUUAUAAAUAAAAUCCGGUGUUUUUAAACUCUGAUAAUUU
Molecule: long non-coding RNA, 1033 nt
Filed under: Helianthus annuus (common sunflower)
Lineage: Eukaryota; Viridiplantae; Streptophyta; Magnoliopsida; Asterales; Asteraceae
Description: hypothetical non coding rna
Source: RNAcentral